RNAcentral lists this ribosomal RNA (1378 nucleotides) under Salmonella enterica subsp. enterica serovar Hadar. RNAcentral describes it as "bacterial LSU rRNA". It matches the Rfam family "Bacterial large subunit ribosomal RNA", at positions 1569 to 2925 of the family's 2925-position model. Lineage: Bacteria; Pseudomonadati; Pseudomonadota; Gammaproteobacteria; Enterobacterales; Enterobacteriaceae. The record is from RNAcentral.
ACGAGGCACUACGGUGCUGAAGCAACAAAUGCCCUGCUUCCAGGAAAAGCCUCUAAGCAUCAGGUAACAUCAAAUCGUACCCCAAACCGACACAGGUGGUCAGGUAGAGAAUACCAAGGCGCUUGAGAGAACUCGGGUGAAGGAACUAGGCAAAAUGGUGCCGUAACUUCGGGAGAAGGCACGCUGACACGUAGGUGAAGUGAUUUACUCAUGGAGCUGAAGUCAGUCGAAGAUACCAGCUGGCUGCAACUGUUUAUUAAAAACACAGCACUGUGCAAACACGAAAGUGGACGUAUACGGUGUGACGCCUGCCCGGUGCCGGAAGGUUAAUUGAUGGGGUCAGCGCAAGCGAAGCUCCUGAUCGAAGCCCCGGUAAACGGCGGCCGUAACUAUAACGGUCCUAAGGUAGCGAAAUUCCUUGUCGGGUAAGUUCCGACCUGCACGAAUGGCGUAAUGAUGGCCAGGCUGUCUCCACCCGAGACUCAGUGAAAUUGAACUCGCUGUGAAGAUGCAGUGUACCCGCGGCAAGACGGAAAGACCCCGUGAACCUUUACUAUAGCUUGACACUGAACAUUGAGCCUUGAUGUGUAGGAUAGGUGGGAGGCUUUGAAGUGUGGACGCCAGUCUGCAUGGAGCCGACCUUGAAAUACCACCCUUUAAUGUUUGAUGUUCUAACGUGGACCCGUUACCCGGGUUGCGGACAGUGUCUGGUGGGUAGUUUGACUGGGGCGGUCUCCUCCUAAAGAGUAACGGAGGAGCACGAAGGUUGGCUAAUCCUGGUCGGACAUCAGGAGGUUAGUGCAAUGGCAUAAGCCAGCUUGACUGCGAGCGUGACGGCGCGAGCAGGUGCGAAAGCAGGUCAUAGUGAUCCGGUGGUUCUGAAUGGAAGGGCCAUCGCUCAACGGAUAAAAGGUACUCCGGGGAUAACAGGCUGAUACCGCCCAAGAGUUCAUAUCGACGGCGGUGUUUGGCACCUCGAUGUCGGCUCAUCACAUCCUGGGGCUGAAGUAGGUCCCAAGGGUAUGGCUGUUCGCCAUUUAAAGUGGUACGCGAGCUGGGUUUAGAACGUCGUGAGACAGUUCGGUCCCUAUCUGCCGUGGGCGCUGGAGAACUGAGGGGGGCUGCUCCUAGUACGAGAGGACCGGAGUGGACGCAUCACUGGUGUUCGGGUUGUCAUGCCAAUGGCACUGCCCGGUAGCUAAAUGCGGAAGAGAUAAGUGCUGAAAGCAUCUAAGCACGAAACUUGCCCCGAGAUGAGUUCUCCCUGAGACUUUAGGUCUCCUGAAGGAACGUUGAAGACGACGACGUUGAUAGGCCGGGUGUGUAAGCGCAGCGAUGCGUUGAGCUAACCGGUACUAAUGAACCGUGAGGCUUAACC